UGGGCGUCGAGCGGCGGACGGGUGAGUAAUGCCUAGGAAAUUGCCUUGAUGUGGGGGAUAACCAUUGGAAACGAUGGCUAAUACCGCAUAAUGCCUACGGGCCAAAGAGGGGGAUCUUCGGACCUCUCGCGUCAAGAUAUGCCUAGGUGGGAUUAGCUAGUUGGUGAGGUAAUGGCUCACCAAGGCGACGAUCCCUAGCUGGUCUGAGAGGAUGAUCAGCCACACUGGAACUGAGACACGGUCCAGACUCCUACGGGAGGCAGCAGUGGGGAAUAUUGCACAAUGGGCGAAAGCCUGAUGCAGCCAUGCCGCGUGUAUGAAGAAGGCCUUCGGGUUGUAAAGUACUUUCAGUUGUGAGGAAGGGUGUGUAGUUAAUAGCUGCGCAUCUUGACGUUAGCAACAGAAGAAGCACCGGCUAA
This 419-nucleotide ribosomal RNA is filed under the name Vibrio sp. 1003. RNAcentral's name for it is "bacterial SSU rRNA". It matches the Rfam family "Bacterial small subunit ribosomal RNA", at positions 85 to 500 of the family's 1533-position model. The record is from RNAcentral. Lineage: Bacteria; Pseudomonadati; Pseudomonadota; Gammaproteobacteria; Vibrionales; Vibrionaceae.